UCCCUGGUGGCUCAGAUGGUAAAGAACCUGCCUGCAAUGCAGGAGACCAGGGUUCUAUCCCUGGAUGGGGAA
This 72-nucleotide transfer RNA is filed under the name Bos taurus (domestic cattle). It matches the Rfam family "tRNA". From Rfam's summary of the family: Transfer RNA (tRNA) molecules are approximately 80 nucleotides in length. Their secondary structure includes four short double-helical elements and three loops (D, anti-codon, and T loops). Further hydrogen bonds mediate the characteristic L-shaped molecular structure. tRNAs have two regions of fundamental functional importance: the anti-codon, which is responsible for specific mRNA codon recognition, and the 3' end, to which the tRNAs corresponding amino acid is attached (by aminoacyl-tRNA synthetases). tRNAs cope with the degeneracy of the genetic code in two manners: having more than one tRNA (with a specific anti-codon) for a particular amino acid; and 'wobble' base-pairing, i.e. permitting non-standard base-pairing at the 3rd anti-codon position. RNAcentral also lists the same sequence under 5 other names. The record is from Rfam by way of RNAcentral. Lineage: Eukaryota; Metazoa; Chordata; Mammalia; Artiodactyla; Bovidae.